GAUGAACGCUGGCGGCGUGCCUAAUACAUGCAAGUCGAGCGAACAGACGAGGAGCUUGCUCCUCUGACGUUAGCGGCGGACGGGUGAGUAACACGUGGAUAACCUACCUAUAAGACUGGGAUAACUUCGGGAAACCGGAGCUAAUACCGGAUAAUAUAUUGAACCGCAUGGUUCAAUAGUGAAAGACGGUUUUGCUGUCACUUAUAGAUGGAUCCGCGCCGCAUUAGCUAGUUGGUAAGGUAACGGCUUACCAAGGCAACGAUGCGUAGCCGACCUGAGAGGGUGAUCGGCCACACUGGAACUGAGACACGGUCCAGACUCCUACGGGAGGCAGCAGUAGGGAACCUUCCGCAAUGGGCGAAAGCCUGACGGAGCAACGCCGCGUGAGUGAUGAAGGUCUUCGGAUCGUAAAACUCUUUUAUUAGGGAAGAACAAAUGUGUAAGUAACUAUGCCCGUCUUGACGGUACCUAAUCAGAAAGCCACGGCUAACUACGUG
This 497-nucleotide ribosomal RNA is filed under the name uncultured bacterium. RNAcentral's name for it is "partial 16S ribosomal RNA". It matches the Rfam family "Bacterial small subunit ribosomal RNA", at positions 28 to 507 of the family's 1533-position model. The record is from RNAcentral.